UUUUGUACUGACAUCGCAGUGUGCUUUUGUGUCCUAUAAAACUAUUUCAUCUGACAUGGAUUCUCUUACUGGUUUUACUGGUCUGAAGACUGGGGAAUUUGCACAGGCAAUUUUUUAACAUAGAAGCUAGAGGCCACCGGAGUCUGGCCACAAUCAAACAGACACAAAGCAAGUGAUGAUUUUAUUUCCAAGAUGGAAGGCGCCUUAAAUCAAACGACGGGAAGUUGCAGGAAAGUUCUCAACAAACGCAGACAUGCAGAUCGUUGGAGUCGUCUCCGAGCGUGUCGUCGUAAAGAUAAGAGACUGUCUGGAGCUCUGCGUGUUUCCUGUUAGGUAGCAGUCCGCCGGCGUUAAGAUGGAGCCAGCCCGAUUAGCCGGCUCUACCGGCUUCAGGCGGCAAAGGGCUUGAGUUGAGUGUUCAUCUGAAGACCGUACCUUCUCCUUCAGGAUAGUCAUUUUCAAAACUCUUCAGAAAGAGCGCAGGCACGGCGCGUCGAUUUGAAAACAGCAAUUAAACUGCACCCCAGCCCAGCUUAUCUUCCCGGUGGUCUAAUUACAUUCCUGUGGGAUGUAUGCAAAUCUCUCUGCUACGCUGCUGACUCUGUGGAGACCAGCUAUAAAAAAAAGGCCUGUUUGUGAUCACUUUGGACAAAAGCGUCUUUACUGCUAAGUAAAGAAAUUCAAUAAAUGUAAA
Molecule: long non-coding RNA, 694 nt
Organism: Brienomyrus brachyistius
Lineage: Eukaryota; Metazoa; Chordata; Actinopteri; Osteoglossiformes; Mormyridae
Exons: 3
Source: RefSeq, a predicted model, not a curated record